This 1218-nucleotide ribosomal RNA is filed under the name uncultured Rhizaria. RNAcentral describes it as "SSU rRNA". It matches the Rfam family "Eukaryotic small subunit ribosomal RNA", at positions 577 to 1805 of the family's 1831-position model. The record is from RNAcentral.
CGGUAAUUCCAGCUCCAAUAGCGUAUACUAAAGUUGUUGCAGUUAAAAAGCUCGUAGUUGGAUUUCUGCGGGGACGGAGCGGCCGGACGCAACUUGCGUCUCGAGCUAGCGCUUUCCCCGCAUCCUGCCGCGAACCGUGCUACCAUUAGUUUGGUGGCGCUGGGGAUCGGCUCGAUUACUUUGAGAAAAAUAGAGUGUUCAAAGCAGGCCACACGCCUUGAAUAAGUUAGCAUGGAAUAAUGACUAAGGGCUUCGGUUCUAUUUUGUUGGUGUUCGGGACUGAAGUAAUGAUUGAUAGGGACAGUUGGGGCGGUCUGUAUUCCAAAGCGAGAGGUGAAAUUCUUAGACCUUCGGAAGACAAACAGCUGCGAAAGCGUUCCGCAAGGAUGUUCCCUUUGAUCAAGAACGAAAGUUGGGGGAUCGAAGACGAUCAGAUACCGUCGUAGUCUCAACUAUAAACUAUACCAGCUAGGGAUCGGCCAACGUUUAAUUAUUCGACUUGGUCGGCACCUUAUGAGAAAUCAAAGCAUCUGGGUUCCGGGGGGAGUAUGGUCGCAAGGCUGAAACUUAAAGGAAUUGACGGAAGGGCACCACCAGCCGUGGAGCCUGUGGCUUAAUUUGACUCAACACGGGAAAACUUACCAGGUCCAGACAUAGGAAGGAUUGACAGAUUGAUAGCUCUUUCUUGAUUCUGUGGGUGGUGGUGCAUGGCCGUUUUUAGUUGGUGGAGUGAUUUGUCUGCUUAAUUGCGUUAACGAACGAGACCCCAGCCUGCUAAAUAGCGCGGCCGAGCUUUGCUCGGUGCGAGCUUCUUAGAGGGACCAUGAUGCGCGAUAGCACAAGGAAGUUUGGGGCAACAACAGGUCUGUGAUGCCCUUAGAUGUUCUGGGCCGCACACGGGCUACACUGGCGCCUGCAACGAGCAUAUCAGCUGGCCCGAGAAAGUCUUGGCUAAUCUUUUGAACCGGCGCCGUGCUUGGGAUUGACCUUUGCAAUUGUUGGUCAUGCAACGAGGAAUGCCUUGUAAACGCGAGUCAUCAGCUCGCAUUGAAUACGUCCCUGCCCUUUGUACACACCGCCCGUCGCUCCUACCGAUGAAUGUUCCGAUGAAAUUUUCGGAGAGCGCCAGAGAACGGGGCUCUGCCUUGCAGAUCUGGAGGCUCAAAGUCACUUAAAUCUGAACAUUUCGAGGAAGGAGAAGUCGUAACAAGGUAGCCG